RNAcentral lists this ribosomal RNA (452 nucleotides) under Toxoplasma gondii RUB. Its description in RNAcentral is "partial large subunit ribosomal RNA". Lineage: Eukaryota; Apicomplexa; Conoidasida; Eucoccidiorida; Sarcocystidae. The record is from RNAcentral.
AAAAAAUUUAUCUUCGAAUUAAAAGCAAAAAUUUGCUAAAAACAUUACUAUUUUUAUACAAUUUUUCUUUUUAAUAAAUGUUCUUUUUAAAUUCUUACUCAAUCUUAUGAACAGAAUAUUAAUCUUAAAGUUUUUUCCUACUUAUAUGCUUUCAGUAGUUAUUUUUAUUAAACUUAGCUACUCAGUAAAAUACUUAUGAUAAAAUAACUGAACUACUAUAGGUUUAAUCUCCUUGGUCCUCUCGUACUAAAGGAAAUACUUUACAAUAUUCUUACGUUUACAUCGGAUACGGACCGAACUGUCUCACGACGUUCUGAACCCAGCUCACGUGCCGCUUUAAUGGGCGAACAGACCAACCCUUGAGACCUGCUACAGCCUCAGGAUGCGACGAGCCGACAUCGAGGUGCCAAACCUCCCCGUCAAUAUGGACUAUCGGGAGAGAUCAGCCUGUU